This 465-nucleotide ribosomal RNA is filed under the name uncultured bacterium. Its description in RNAcentral is "partial 16S ribosomal RNA". It matches the Rfam family "Bacterial small subunit ribosomal RNA", at positions 28 to 507 of the family's 1533-position model. The record is from RNAcentral.
GACGAACGCUGGCGGCGUGCUUAACACAUGCAAGUCGAACGGAAAGGCCCUGCUUGCAGGGUACUCGAGUGGCGAACGGGUGAGUAACACGUGGGUGAUCUGCCCUUCACUUCGGGAUAAGCCUGGGAAACUGGGUCUAAUACCGGAUAGGAGCCAUUUUUAGUGUGAUGGUUGGAAAGUUUUUUCGGUGUAGGAUGAGCUCGCGGCCUAUCAGCUUGUUGGUGGGGUAAUGGCCUACCAAGGCGGCGACGGGUAGCCGGCCUGAGAGGGUGGACGGCCACAUUGGGACUGAGAUACGGCCCAGACUCCUACGGGAGGCAGCAGUGGGGAAUAUUGCACAAGGGGCGCAAGCCUGAUGCAGCGACGCCGCGGGGGGGAUGACGGCCUUCGGGUUGUAAACGCCUUUCGCUAGGGACGAAGCUUUUUGUGACGGUACCUAGAUAAGAAGCACCGGCUAACUACGUG